RNAcentral lists this ribosomal RNA (422 nucleotides) under uncultured bacterium. RNAcentral's name for it is "bacterial SSU rRNA". It matches the Rfam family "Bacterial small subunit ribosomal RNA", at positions 355 to 774 of the family's 1533-position model. The record is from RNAcentral.
UGAGGAAUAUUGGGCAAUGCCCGCAAGGGUGACCCAGCAACGCCGCGUGGAGGAUGAAUGUCGUAAGAUUGUAAACUCCUGUUAGAGGGGAAGAAUAGUACCGGUUGGACCGGUAUAUGACUGUACCCUCAGAGAAAGCCCCGGCUAACUACGGGCCAGCAGCCGCGGUAAUACGUAGGGGGCAAGCGUUGUCCGGAUUUACUGGGUGUAAAGGGCGCGCAGGCGGGAUAAAAAGUCAGUGGUGAAAUCCUACAGCUUAACUGUAGAAAUGCCUUUGAUACUUUUAUUCUUGAGUUCGGGAGAGAGAGACGGAAUUCCAGGUGUAGUGGUGAAAUACGUAGAUAUCUGGAAGAACACCAGUUGCGAAGGCGGUCUCUUGGUCCGACACUGACGCUGAGGCGCGAAAGCGUGGGGAGCAAACA